UGCAUGGUUGUCGUCAGCUCGUGCCGUGAGGUGUCGGGUUAAGUCCCAUAACGAGCGCAACCCUACCUUUAGUUGCCAUCAGGUAAUGCUGGGGACUCUAAAGGAACUGCCUACGCAAGUAGUGAGGAAGGCGGGGAUGACGUCAAAUCAGCACGGCCCUUACGUCCAGGGCUACACACGUGCUACAAUGGCCGAUACAGAGGGCAGCUACCUGGUGACAGGAUGCAAAUCUCCAAAGUCGGUCUCAGUUCGGAUCGGAGUCUGCAACCCGACUCCGUGAAGUUGGAUUCGCUAGUAAUCGCGCAUCAGCCAUGGCGCGGUGAAUACGUUCCCGGGCCUU
This 340-nucleotide ribosomal RNA is filed under the name uncultured Sphingobacteriales bacterium. RNAcentral describes it as "bacterial SSU rRNA". It matches the Rfam family "Bacterial small subunit ribosomal RNA", at positions 1042 to 1382 of the family's 1533-position model. Lineage: Bacteria; Pseudomonadati; Bacteroidota; Sphingobacteriia; Sphingobacteriales. The record is from RNAcentral.